This 461-nucleotide ribosomal RNA is filed under the name uncultured ammonia-oxidizing beta proteobacterium. RNAcentral's name for it is "bacterial SSU rRNA". It matches the Rfam family "Bacterial small subunit ribosomal RNA", at positions 202 to 646 of the family's 1533-position model. The record is from RNAcentral. Lineage: Bacteria; Pseudomonadati; Pseudomonadota; Betaproteobacteria.
AAGUAGGGGAUCGUAAGACCUUGCGCUUAUGGAGCGGCCGAUGCCUGAUUAGCUAGUUGGUGGGGUAAUGGCUUACCAAGGCUACGAUCAGUAGUUGGUCUGAGAGGACGACCAGCCACACUGGGACUGAGACACGGCCCAGACUCCUACGGGAGGCAGCAGUGGGGAAUUUUGGACAAUGGGCGAAAGCCUGAUCCAGCAAUGCCGCGUGAGUGAAGAAGGCCUUCGGGUUGUAAAGCUCUUUCAGUCGAGAAGAAAAGGUUGUGACUAAUAAUCACAAUUUAUGACGGUAUCGACAGAAGAAGCACCGGCUAACUACGUGCCAGCAGCCGCGGUAAUACGUAGGGUGCAAGCGUUAAUCGGAAUUACUGGGCGUAAAGGGUGCGCAGGCGGCUUUGUAAGUCAGAUGUGAAAUCCCCGGGCUUAACCUGGGAAUUGCGUUUGAAACUACAAAGCUUAGA